AAGAUGCUGGAGCCAGUGUGACACCAAAGACUAUGCACUUAACCCCUGAAGUAACCCCUAUUAUUGAAUUUCAGCUCCACCUCCCGAUCCCUUCAGUUCUGCCUGUCUUUCCUCUACGUUAGAUGUCUAAGGAAUCUGAGGUAACCAAAGCAACGCGGAUAAAACCAGACCUCCCAGCAUGCUAGAGGGACACGGAAAGUUCUUCUAAAUGGCGGCGGUGGGAAGGAGGGGCAGCACUUCCGCUGGUGUCUCUGCACUUUCUCUCUGACUCUGGUACCUAAAAGUGGACUUGUUGGAUCAUAUGGAAACUCUUAUGUUUCAAGUUUUGAGGAGGAAUUUCCAUUUCUAAACCUCAGCUGAUCUGCCUGCAAGAAAAAAGAGAAAUGCCGUGGAUUCCAGAUGUAAGGGAAAUUCAGGAUGAAGAGGACCAAAGCACUUGACCAAAUAUUGAACCACCCCUGCAGCCCAGGAAUUUUAGCCACUGUUUUCUAAAUUGGCGCCAGUGCUAUUACCUUAUACCAAAGUAUCCCUCAACCUCAUUACCCAUGGCUUCCCACCAAGUUGCCUCUCUGGUGAACACAAGAGUUGUGAUGAAUUAGAAGAUAGCAGAGGCAAAGGUCUAAGGAAAGGCUGAGCACAUCACCUGGAAUGAUGGCCUCCAUCACGUACCUUUUACUUCCCACCUCUCAAACUGUGGAUACAUCUGCUGACCUCUCUGAACGUCAGUUUCCUGAUCUGUAAACAGGAAUAACAACACCUUGUCAACAGUGGGAAGAUUAGAUAAGAUCCUGUAUAUGAAAAAUUUGUGGCAUAAUGCCUGGCAACCUAGUAGAUGUGUAAGUAGAACAAAGUAUGAUAUCCCCAAAUCUCUCAUUCCACAACCACAAAAUUCACAUUAUGGGAACAUCUAGAAAUGGAAGAAAUGAUUGUGAGAUUUUUUUUUUAUCACCACAGACCUGGACAAAAGCACUCCUUUGCUCCAUAAUAGUCUGUGACUCCCGUUGGUGUCAGGAUGGCCCAAACUUCUUAGCAUGAAUAUGAAGUCCUUUAGGACAUACUCCCUUCCUACGAUUUCAGCCUUAUCUGUUUUCAACCCCUACUCUCUCCAAACUUGACACCCUAUGAGCCGUGAAUCAUAUGGAAUAUCCCAGUUGUCUGAAAGCACCAUGCCCACCCUCCUUUCUGGGCACUUAAAAAAUGUUCUUUCCAAAAAAAAAAAUAUUCUUUCCUAUACCUGAAAUGAUAUUCACUGUACUAAUUUCUGUUUAUCAUUCCAUACAGUUCAGAUGCCAUCUACUCAAGAAGAUUUCUGUAGCCUCCUGAUGGCCUGGCUGGGUUAAAUGCUCCAUCUCUGUGCUUUCCUAGUGCUCAAAGUGUUUUAUUGCUAUCCUAAUGCUCUCAGUGUUCUGUUGGAAUACUCUCCCUCAACUAUCUCUUCCAUCUCUCUGAGGUCCUUGAGGGGACUGGAUUUUGAGAUCCAUAGUGCCUACCACACAGUAGUGCUGAAUAAAUGCUUAUUCAGCAUUUAUUGCCAACACAAGUAAGACUGUUUAAGGAAGUGCAAGUUUUAGACAGACUUCUAUUGUGAUAAGAACACUUAACGUGCAAUCUGGCCUCUUAACAGAUUUUAACUGCAUGUUAUUGUUGACAUUAGGUGCAGUGUUGUAUGGAAGAUCUCUACAGUUUAUUCAUUUUACUUAAUUUAUGCUUGUGGAUUAAUAACUGCCUAAUAAUUAAUAACUGCCUAUUUUCUCCUCCCCCUGAGUCCCUGUUAACUACCAUUCCAGUUUGAUUUUAUGAAUUUAACUAUCGUAGAUAACUCCUGUAAGUGGAAUCAUGCAGUACUUGUACUUUUUUGGCCUGGCUUAUUUCACUUUGCAUAAAUAUCCUCCAGGUUCAUGCAUACUGUCACACAUUGCAGAAGUUGCUUCUUUUUUAAGGCUGAAAAGUAUUACACUGUACGUAUACACCACAUGGCCUACCUUCAUGGCCUGCCUUUAUUCCUUUGCAUGUGGACUUCCAGUUUCUCCAACACCAUUUGUUGAGGAGAUUGUCCUUUUUCCAUUGAAUGACCUUGGCACCUUUGUUAAAAAUCAACUGACCACAUACACAAAGGUUUAUUUCUGACUCUUCUAUUCCACUGGUAUAUAUGUCUGUCUUUAUGCCAGAACCACACUGUUUUUUUUUUAUUACUGUACCUUUGUAGUAAGUUUUGAAAUUAGGAAGUGUGAAUCCUCCACCUUUGUUCAUUCUUUUCCAAACUGUUUGGGGUCCCUUUGAGAGUCUAUAUGAAUUAUAAGAUGGAUUUUUCUAUAUCUGCAAAACAUGUCAUUGGUAUUCUGACAGGUAUUACAUUAAAUCUAUAGAAUGCUUUGAGUACUAUUGACAUCUUAAUAAUGUUAAAUCUUCCAAUAAAUG
This is a long non-coding RNA of Canis lupus familiaris (dog), 2418 nucleotides long. RefSeq lists it as uncharacterized. Lineage: Eukaryota; Metazoa; Chordata; Mammalia; Carnivora; Canidae. The record is from RefSeq and is a predicted model, not a curated record. The transcript has 4 exons.